Molecule: ribosomal RNA, 492 nt
Filed under: uncultured bacterium
Lineage: Bacteria
Description: partial 16S ribosomal RNA
Rfam family: Bacterial small subunit ribosomal RNA
Source: RNAcentral
AGUGAACGCUGGCGGUAGGCCUAACACAUGCAAGUCGAACGGCAGCACAGUAAGAGCUUGCUCUUACGGGUGGCGAGUGGCGGACGGGUGAGGAAUACAUCGGAAUCUACUUUUUCGUGGGGGAUAACGUAGGGAAACUUACGCUAAUACCGCAUACGACCUACGGGUGAAAGCAGGGGAUCUUCGGACCUUGCGCGAUUGAAUGAGCCGAUGUCGGAUUAGCUAGUUGGCGGGGUAAAGGCCCACCAAGGCGACGAUCCGUAGCUGGUCUGAGAGGAUGGUCAGCCACACUGGAACUGAGACACGGUCCAGACUCCUACGGGAGGCAGCAGUGGGGAAUAUUGGACAAUGGGCGCAAGCCUGAUCCAGCCAUACCGCGUGGGUGAAGAAGGCCUUCGGGUUGUAAAGCCCUUUUGUUGGGAAAGAAAAGCAGCAGGUUAAUACCCAGCUGUUCUGACGGUACCCAAAGAAUAAGCACCGGCUAACUUCGUG